RNAcentral lists this long non-coding RNA (1537 nucleotides) under Cyanistes caeruleus (blue tit). RNAcentral's name for it is "lncRNA (ENSCCEG00000005250.1)". The record is from RNAcentral. Lineage: Eukaryota; Metazoa; Chordata; Aves; Passeriformes; Paridae.
CUGGAGGAGCCAUCAUUCCCAAAUAAAUAAUUCCCCAAUAAAUAAUUCCCAAAUAAAUAAUUCCCAAAUAAUCCCCAAUUCCCCAUUUUCCAGGGAGGAUGGCGAGCUGGAGGAGGGCGAGCUGGAGGAGGAGCCAUCAUUCCCAAAUAAAUAAUUCCCCAAUAAUUCCCCAAUAAUUCCCCAAUAAUUCCCCAAUUCCCUGUGUUUUCCAGGGAGGAUGGCGAGCUGGAGGAGGGCGAGCUGGAGGAGCCAUCAUUCCCAAAUUCCCCAAUAAUCCCCAAUUCCCUGUGUUCUCCAGGGAGGAUGGCGAGCUGGAGGAGGGCGAGCUGGAGGAGCCAUCAUUCCCAAAUUCCCAAAUAAUUCCCAAAUAAAUAAUUCCCCAAUAAUUCCCCAAUUCCCUGUGUUUCCAGGGAGGAUGGCGAGCUGGAGGAGCCAUAAUUCCCAAAUAAAUAAUUCCCAAAUAAAUAAUUCCCAAAUUCCCCAAUUCCCCAUUUUCCAGGGAGGAUGGCGAGCUGGAGGAGGGCGAGCUGGAGGAGGAGCCAUCAUUCCCAGAUAAAUAAUUCCCCAAUAAUUCCCCAAUAAUUCCCAAUUCCCCGUUCUCCAGGGAGGAUGAGGAGCUGGAGGAGCCAUCAUUCCCAAAUAAAUAAUUCCCAAAUAAAUAAUUCCCAAAUAAUCCCCAAUUCCCCGUUUUCCAGGGAGGAUGGUGAGCUGGAGGAGGGCGAGCUGGAGGAGGAGCCAUCAUUCCCAAAUAAAUAAUUCCCAAAUAAUUCCCCAAUAAUCCCCAAUUCCCUGUGUUCUCCAGGGAGGAUGGCGAGCUGGAGGAGGGCGAGCUGGAGGAGCCAUCAUUCCCAAAUAAUUCCCAAAUAAAUAAUUCCCAAAUUCCCCAAUUCCCUGUUUCUCCAGGGAGGAUGGCGAGCUGGAGGAGGGCGAGCUGGAGGAGCCAUCAUUCCCAAAUAAAUAAUUCCCCAAUAAUUCCCAAUUCCCUGUGUUCUCCAGGGAGGAUGAGGAGCUGGAGGAUGGCGAGCUGGAUGAGCCAUCAUUCCCAAAUUCCCCAAUAAUUCCCCAAUUCCCCGUUUUUCUCCAGGGAGGAUGGCGAGCUGGAGGAGGGCGAGCUGGAGGAAGACGACGGCGCCGAGGAGGCUCCGGAGCGCUCCCGUUCCCGCUCCCGUUCCCAAUCCCAAUCCCGCUCCCAGUCCCGCUCCCAGUCCCGCUCCCAAUCCCGGCGGGAGCGGCGCCGCAGCGGCUCCGAGGACGAGAAGGGGCAGCGGCGCCUGAAGCGCAAACGCCGCAAGGAGCGCGACAAGGACAAGCGCAGGGCCAAGAAAAAGAGGAAAUCCAAGCACAAGCGGCACGCUUCGUCCAGCGAGGAAUUCUCGGAUUUCAGCGACGACUCCGAGUUCAGCCCCGGGGAGAAGGGACACCGGAAAUACCGGGAAUACAGCCCGGCCUAUCCCGUGAGUUAAACUGGGAAUACUGGGAAUAAAAACUGGGAAUUACUGGGAAUAAAUACCGGGAAUACAGCCCGGCCUAUCCCGUG